AUCUGUCUAUUAAUCUGUGGCAUAGGCUUGUCCCAGCUACGUUUACGCAUAAUUUUAGCGUUUAAUUCUUAAAAUGGAAUGUGGAUGGAUAGUCCAAUACAUAUCCCAGUGCGCAUUUCUGCUAAAUACAAGCUGCCACUUCAGCCGGCUAUUUUCGGAAAAAUCAAUUUCGAGGGUACAUUAAUUAGAUCAACGGAGAAGCUGGCUUAAUAAAAUAUGAAUUAAAGGUGAUUAAAGGAUUUUUGGACCCAUUUAUGGAUGGAACAAAUGGAAAAUAACAGAACCAAUUGUUAGAUUCCGGUCUCCCUCGAAUCCUGAAGACAAUCCACAAUGUCCUUGCAAACCUCGACCAAUCGUCAUCUCGCCACUGUCUUCCCUCAUCUCUGCAGCUCGUAGGUUUUCGUCUACCAGUAGAAGAGGAGGAAGGGCAAGGUUUGACCUUUUCGAGGGGAUGACGGGAUGGGUAGGACAAGGGUAGUUCGACGGUUGUCUUUUGGGGCAUCGGCCCUUGCCUCGCCGAGGGAGAGUGAGCAGGGGCGGACGAGGAGGACCUACGCGUUAUUGAGCGGCCAUUUCCCACAAAGCGCAGACGAGGGCAACCACCCCGACGAAGCGCGCGGAGUCCUCUCUCUACCCCUACGCCCUCUUUUCACCCCGACCUCUCUACCCUCCGCCCUCGUCCUUUCGUCCCUUUGCGCGCUCUGCUCUCCCUUCGAUCUACUACAGACGAGAGAACCUUUCCGAGACACGGAUAUAAUGCACCACCUGCACCGACGCAUCUUUUAAAAUGGCGGAUCUCUUUCUUAUUGUCAGAGAUAUAACACGUGGAUAAUGUAACAAAGAUUCGCAAGGACUCGAGGAUAAUUUCAAAUGUUCAAAUCUUAUCUGUAUCUUCGUCUUAAUCCGUGUGAUUUUAUAAAACUAUUUCUAAAUUAUUAUUAGUGAGGAGUAUUAUUAUUAGUGAGAAAGAUAAUGGGCUAAACAGGAUCAAUUUUAAUAUAUGCGCAUAUGUAUGUAUGGUAUAUAUGUAUGCUAUAGUCUAAUGAAGUAUGAUUUGGAUUCGUUUAUCGAUUGAAUUCUAGAAUUACAUAUAUACAGCAUCACGAGAUCAUCGAAUAAUAUUUCAGGAUAAACUCUCUUGCAAAAUAGGAACAAUUUUAGAAUUAACAAUGUGUCCUAAAAUAUUUACUAGAGAUAUUUACUCUUUUAAAUAUUAUCACAUCAAAUUUAGGAGUCUCUAAAAUUAAGA
Non-coding RNA from Nylanderia fulva, 1249 nucleotides. The record is from RefSeq and is a predicted model, not a curated record. NCBI's taxonomy places the organism in Eukaryota, Metazoa, Arthropoda, Insecta, Hymenoptera, Formicidae.